Non-coding RNA from Schizosaccharomyces pombe (fission yeast), 1456 nucleotides. The record is from the annotation of a GenBank genome assembly. Lineage: Eukaryota; Fungi; Ascomycota; Schizosaccharomycetes; Schizosaccharomycetales; Schizosaccharomycetaceae.
CAAUAGUCGUAGCUGCACCAUCUAGGCUAAUCACGAUACUAGCAAGUUCAAUUUAGCGUGGAACUCGUAAACGUUCAAAAGAUAAAUUACUCUGAAGCAUUCUUUUACUAACAAAUUACAUUCUACUUUCAUAAUCAUACUUCAAUUCUUCAUCUUUUUGUAUUACACUGAAUUCCCUUGAUCCUACGAUUAAUAAAAAUCCCACUCGUCCUACAUUCAUUAGGCAUUCAGUAAUUCAAGGGCUCCAAUUUUUACUGUUUUCAUACUAUUCAAAUGGUUGUUUUUGUUACACAAGCUUGAUGCUACUACGCCCAGCACAAUGCCUACGGCUAUUGCAAGGCCUAGUGACUAAGAAUUUUGUUAUACAACAAUGGCUUCAUGCAUUCUAGCUUACCAUUCAAGCACUUGCCGCUAUAUAAGAUUCAUUCGGGAUUUGGUACCAUUGUAUAAGGCAUUACACUAUUUCAAACAAUGAUCCAUUGACAGUGCGCUGGAGUACAGACAUUCUGGAUUAGUAGGUAGGUAGGUAGGUAAAUGAAACCAGUUCAUAAUCGGUACAUUAUAUGAUAUUUGAAGAGCUACGUUCUCUUUUCGAUAAAUUGGGAAUGUAGGCCAUUGUUCAAACUUGUACUUGAGCAACAGGCUAUUAACAACAACAAUUGCAACCAUAAAAGGAUUCGGCGGUUCCUAUUUUCUACACCUGUUCCCUUCUCUUUCUUUACAUUUCAUGCAGCAAACUUUUUGGGAUUCGAUUUCACUUUGUUCCGUGAAUAAUGCGUACUUCAAGAUUGUUAAAUGAGAUAAACUUGGUUUAUCUACCUUUUUUUUAUCUCGUACAUGUCAUUCAUUAAUCCAAUAAUUUCCUAUCUAUUCUGUCAAGUUAAAUGUUUCUGAACGACUGCUUCCUGUUCCACAACAAUUUAAGUCAAAUAUGCAUGCUUGGCCUUGCAAAUGAAACAAAAUUAUGUAAAACCUUUAUCGACGAAGCAAAGCAUGGGCUUAAACAGGAAAUGCAGUUUCAUUGCGUUGCUUGCGCUUUGACAGUAUAUUGUUAAAAAAAUUAAAAAAUUAAAUAAAAAAUAAAGAAAUAGUUUUUAGACUUUAAAUACAACUUUGAAUCUUCAAUUUGCCUUUCCAACAAUAUUCGCGCCCCUUCGUUAUUUUUGUCUUACAAAUAAUGAGGGUAUGUUAUUAUUCAACUAUCAGUGUUAUGUGCUUAUUACUUAUACAGACACAGUUUUUAAAGUUAAAGAAAUUAUUAUUACAUUGUACUAAAUUUCCAUGAUAAACUUCACAUGCAAGUUUCUUUAUCCGUAUCUUUAUUUCCGGUUAUUUUGUUUACAAGGUCACACACAUUUGUAUACGAUCUUUGUUGUCAAAUGCCUGUAACAUUUUCUUUCCCUUUUUUCUGUUUUACUAAAACAAUUGCUUUUUUUGUUACAUUCAUUUACCCAUA